AUUGAACGCUGGCGGCAUGCUUUACACAUGCAAGUCGAACGGCAGCGCGGGCUUCGGCCUGGCGGCGAGUGGCGAACGGGUGAGUAAUACAUCGGAACGUGCCCAGUAGUGGGGGAUAGCUCGGCGAAAGCCGGAUUAAUACCGCAUACGACCUGAGGGUGAAAGCGGGGGAUCUUCGGACCUCGCGCUAUUGGAGCGGCCGAUGGCAGAUUAGCUAGUUGGUGGGGUAAAGGCCUACCAAGGCGACGAUCUGUAGCUGGUCUGAGAGGACGACCAGCCACACUGGGACUGAGACACGGCCCAGACUCCUACGGGAGGCAGCAGUGGGGAAUUUUGGACAAUGGGCGAAAGCCUGAUCCAGCAAUGCCGCGUGUGUGAUGAAGGCCUUCGGGUUGUAAAGCACUUAUGGCGGGAACGAAAAGGACUGUGCCAAUACCACGGUUCGAUGACGGUACCCGCAGAAUAAGCACCGGCUAACUACGUG
Molecule: ribosomal RNA, 484 nt
Filed under: uncultured bacterium
Lineage: Bacteria
Description: partial 16S ribosomal RNA
Rfam family: Bacterial small subunit ribosomal RNA
Source: RNAcentral